Long non-coding RNA from Ruditapes philippinarum (Manila clam), 2080 nucleotides. RefSeq lists it as uncharacterized. The transcript is spliced from 7 exons. The record is from RefSeq and is a predicted model, not a curated record. NCBI's taxonomy places the organism in Eukaryota, Metazoa, Mollusca, Bivalvia, Venerida, Veneridae.
ACCCAGCCCAUUGUAGUCUAGAAAGUAGUUCUUUAAAAUUAUGAAAUGGCCCAAUUUAAGUCAUCUCUAGUUAGAUUGUUCAUAAUUAAAGUGUAUUUAUUGCAUGUGUGUAGUUUUUGUGUGUUAUAUGAUGACUUUAAAAGUUGUUUUUUGUGUAUUCUCCAGGAACUCAUUUGUUGGUGGAAGGAUUAAAGAUGUACUACCCACCAGCUGUCAGGAGUUUUUAAAGUGGUGAAUUUAAACAGUGUUACAACAGAAUGAAGAUUUCUGAAAAAAGUAGAUGGCUAACCUAUUAUAUUUUGGGCAUCAUUUGACUUAGAUAGUGUUAAUGUUUAAAGUUGAAGACAGUAUAUAAUUCAUCAAGAACAUUGGAAUCCAGAAUUAAACCUCAAAUUUGACUGAUUUACUAUAGAACUAAUAGUACGAAAAUUCACCGGGCCGAGUCCAAGAUAAGAAAUGUCAAAAAUGGGAACUGGUUGAUGGAUAUGGAUGAAACUUUGCAUCAGUGUUGUGUUUAUGAAUAGAAGUCAGGAAAAUAAAGGAUUAUUGACAGACCAUGCAGUUGCCAAAGCCUGGGUUUGAGUAUAUGACCUUACCUUAUCCUGGUAAAGAUCUAUGGAAGGACUCCUUCAGCUCUGUUUGGCAGCAGCUUUGUCAGGACACAUUGAGAAGGAACUCAUUUGUUGGUGGAAGGAUUAAAGAUGUACUACCCACCAGCUGUCAGGAGUUUUUAAAGUGGUGAAUUUAAACAGUGUUACAACAGAAUGAAGAUUUCUGAAAAAAGUAGAUGGCUAACCUAUUAUAUUUUGGGCAUCAUUUGACUUAGAUAGUGUUAAUGUUUAAAGUUGAAGACAGUAUAUAAUUCAUCAAGAACAUUGGAAUCCAGAAUUAAACCUCAAAUUUGACUGAUUUACUAUAGAACUAAUAGUACGAAAAUUCACCGGGCCGAGUCCAAGAUAAGAAAUGUCAAAAAUGGGAACUGGUUGAUGGAUAUGGAUGAAACUUUGCAUCAGUGUUGUGUUUAUGAAUAGAAGUCAGGAAAAUAAAGGAUUACUGACAGACCAUGCAGUUGCCAAAGCCUGGGUUUGAGUAUAUGACCUUACCUUAUCCUGGUAAAGAUCUAUGGAAGGACUCCUUCAGCUCUGUUUGGCAGCAGCUUUGUCAGGACACAUUGAGAAGGAACUCAUUUGUUGGUGGAAGGAUUAAAGAUGUACUACCCACCAGCUGUCAGGAGUUUUUAAAGUGGUGAAUUUAAACAGUGUUACAACAGAAUGAAGAUUUCUGAAAAAAGUAGAUGGCUAACCUAUUAUAUUUUGGGCAUCAUUUGACUUAGAUAGUGUUAAUGUUUAAAGUUGAAGACAGUAUAUAAUUCAUCAAGAACAUUGGAAUCCAGAAUUAAACCUCAAAUUUGACUGAUUUACUAUAGAACUAAUAGUACGAAAAUUCACCGGGCCGAGUCCAAGAUAAGAAAUGUCAAAAAUGGGAACUGGUUGAUGGAUAUGGAUAAAACUUUGCAUCAGUGUUGUGUUUAUGAAUAGAAGUCAGGAAAAUAAAGGAUUAUUGACAGACCAUGCAGUUGCCAAAGCCUGGGUUUGAGUAUAUGACCUUACCUUAUCCUGGUAAAGAUCUAUGGAAGGACUCCUUCAGCUCUGUUUGGCAGCAGCUUUGUCAGGACACAUUGAGAAGGAACUCAUUUGUUGGUGGAAGGAUUAAAGAUGUACUACCCACCAGCUGUCAGGAGUUUUUAAAGUGGUGAAUUUAAACAGUGUUACAACAGAAUGAAGAUUUCUGAAAAAAGUAGAUGGCUAACCUAUUAUAUUUUGGGCAUCAUUUGACUUAGAUAGUGUUAAUGUUUAAAGUUGAAGACAGUAUAUAAUUCAUCAAGAACAUUGGAAUCCAGAAUUAAACCUCAAAUUUGACUGAUUUACUAUAGAACUAAUAGUACGAAAAUUCACCGGGCCGAGUCCAAGAUAAGAAAUGUCAAAAAUGGGAACUGGUUGAUGGAUAUGGAUGAAACUUUGCAUCAGUGUUGUGUUUAUGAAUAGAAGUCAGGAAAAUAAAGGAUUAUUGACAGGUUUGA